UAAAAGAUAAGAAACCCCCCACGAUCCCACGAAAUUGCAAAAUUAAGCAUAAAAAGGGUAACAAAUUAACCUAGCGAAAACUGCUGCAACAAUCAGUGUUCUCUUCUUGGGAGAAGUUUAAAACUCAUCUAAUUUCAUCAAAUGAUGACCAGAUCUAAGAACCAUAAAUUGUUCUGGGAGGAGAUUUGUACAACUAAUUACCAGAUCGAAGAACCACCAAUUUUGAUGACAGAUUAUGAAAGAAGACUACCUAAUUGGUGGUUGUAGGCAUGAAAUCUGAAGUUUAUCACAUAGAAACAGAUUUUCCCGGGGAUUGCACAUGGCUGAUUUGCGAGGUACAAAGAUGAAAAUAAAUUAGUGGCUAUACGAGGCUCAUCAAGAUAUGUUGGGUGGUAUAGGAAGCAUCUCAAGUAAGUUCCUCUCAUCGUCAUUUAUCUACUGCUUUAUUUUGAGUAGGUUAUGAAUGCAAAAUUUAGUUAUUAGAUUGUGCUUUGGAUUAAACAUUAAGUGCUUUUUUUUUUUGGUAAGGUAGGAUUAAACAUCAAGUCUUAGUCUUUAGAACUAGAGCAACAUAAAGAAUAGAAAAAAGUUGAGCUUAGAAUGAUCGGAUGAAAACUUGCUUUUUCCAAAGUAUAUGCAAUGAGUGAUAUGCUUUUGGAUUGCUCGCUGCCAUUAUUAAUUUUUAACUUAGUGGUAUUUUAGGAGCUUCUCUAUUCCGCAUAGAAAUUUUUCCGAGUGUCAAUUGAUAAAAAGAAAUAAUUAGCAUUGAUUUAUUAAUUAUAACCAUUUUCUUAAAGAUGACCAAUAUUGUUGAAGGCAAUUAGGGAUAGAAUAAAAGUAAUAUAUUCAAUUUUCGAUCCAGUUUUGUAUUUGUUGGACUACCAACAUCAUCAUGAAUAGUUAUUUUAUUUUUUCUCUUUCUAUUUUUGACUUGCUUUUCGCAUGUGUACCGUGAACAUUAUGGAAGUUUAUUCAUUAUAUUUCUACAUUCAUAUCAUUUAUCUUACAUUUUAGAUGUGCAAGGUCAAUUUUUCACUUACAGUCUAAGUCUUUCUUUCUAUAAUUUCUUCUAUCAUCAGCUUUUUUUGAAGAUCCUUUUUUCUUGGCCUAAUUCUGCUACUGCUGUUGUUAUUGGAAAACAGUUAUGAAAAAGUUUGUGCAGAGGCAACAACAGAUAUUAGUGUUCAUGCUGUCAAUUGGAAGUUUAUUCAUUGGAGUUUUAUUUUGCAGGUUUUUUAUAUAUUUUUUUCUUUCCAUAAAUAUGGUUGCUGUCAUUGAAUUCUGAUUCUUAAGCCAUACAUUUUCUUAUAUUCUUGAAUGGCUUGAUAAGAAAAGUGAGGUGAUGAUAUUGUUGAUAAGUUUUAGCCUCAAUUCUGCAUCUUUCCUACUUCUAUACAAGUCCAGUUAUUAUGUAUUGUGAACAACUUUUCGAGAUACUACAAGUAACUUUUGUGAGG
Nicotiana tabacum (common tobacco) is the source of this 1457-nucleotide non-coding RNA. Lineage: Eukaryota; Viridiplantae; Streptophyta; Magnoliopsida; Solanales; Solanaceae. The record is from RefSeq and is a predicted model, not a curated record.